UUCUCUGCGGCCAGAUCCCCCUCACUGCCUGCCGCAUCAUCAACCCACUCUGCUGACAGCCACGCAAGACACGGUCAUUAACUCAGCAGCUCGGCAGGCGAUCCGCCCUCGCAGGGAUGCAGAGCACUCAGAACAGCAGGAGUGGGGAAGCUCUGGAAUAUUCCAGCACAGCUCCCCCACCCUGCCCAGACCACCCCAGUUCCUCUGGGGGAGGGGGGUCACUGUCUUCAAGAAUCCUCACUAUGGCUGUUUUGCAAGACCUGGAGCUGCUUCUACAGGAAAUGAGAAUUAGGAAAGAGAGACGCCAGAGUGUCAUGUGACUAAGGGCAUCCUGAUCAGCCUCGGGGCUGAGUGCCCACUGUCCUGCCCACCUCCUGUGACUACUCAGCCCCGCAGUUCAGCUCUACCCACGUCCACUGUCCUCUGACCUCCAACGGGAAACGGCCCUCCAUCCCUGAGGCGGCCGGCAGCUCGCCUGCAGUCCCACGGCUCUCUUUGCCCACGUGUGCGCCCCGGCCUCAGCUGUCACAGCCCUGGACCCCCGUGCUGCUCAAAGCACACCCCACGCCCCCCUGCCAGGCCUGCACAGGGUCCGUGUGCUAGCGAUCGGGUUCUGCUGGGGGCUGGGCUGCGCUACAACGCCCUAAGAGAAGGGGUCUCCCGGCAGCACCCAAGUACGGACAGGGAACAGGGCGGCUGCUCUGGGUGGGCAGGGAAGACAGGCAUUGCCCCCCUGGGCCAACCACGUGAUGCUACCACAUGGCCCGGGGCCCCACGCCUGCCUCCUUUCUUCUUGAGAAACUCCAGCAUUUAUUCUGUUCCUCGGUGUCACUCUUCCACACAGCUGUGUGAGCAGAACGGGCUGGUUCUAGCUCAGAAGUUCCACACAGGUGUGCCCCGGGGAUGACCAAGCCCAUGAGCCACAAAGCCGACGGCCCCCGGGUCACGUAAGCCCCCUGCGCACAGACACACUCUCCCUUCCAGAGAGCACAGUGCUACCCCAGAGCCAGGGCCCCACUCACAGGACAGCACGCGUGCACACACACACACACACACACACACACACACACGCCCACAUACUCAUCACACACACACGUACGCAGACACGGCGGGGGGAAAAGAUCAGAAAAUGCGACCAAUUAAGUUCUUGCUUUCUCCAUGAGAAGCAAAAAGGAACAACAGAAACCUUAGUCCCAAACCAAGAAAGAGAGUUAGGAAAUCUAGAAAUUAAGCAAUUCUGGACCUUCUUGGGGAAACAGCAAAAGCCACACCUAGGUUGCAGGACUGGCACAUUCCCGACCAGCCCCGACCAGCCCGAGGACUUCCAGAGGCUGGGGCAACAGGAAUCAUUACAACUGGCAGGAAGUGAAGCAAGCAGAGCUACGUGUCCUGGAGCACAAGGAACAUUCUAGAACACACUUGGACGUGUUCCAAACCCAACACACCACCUCCAAGGAUGUGAAUGUCCACAUGUCAGCGGUGUUGUACUGUCUGCCAACAUGGGCAUCACCAGGAAAAACAUUAAGGCAAAAACCAUGUCUUUUAAAGGGGACAGGGUGACAUUCUUACCAAAUGCAGUUCUGCUGCAGAAGGCCCUUCUAUCCUAGGAGUGCUAAGGGAAAAAUGUCAAGAUCUUCCUCUGAAGAAGGCCACCUCGAGGCUCCAGGGGUUCUUGAAAGUGAAAAGCUGGAAAUAAACGACUCCCUGCCACCCCCACACUGUCAUGGAGAUCCCAACAUGGGAUUUAAGUGGGUUUUAGGCAAAAGCCCAAGUCAGAUUCUCAAGGCUACUGGAGGUGACCUUUCAAGGCCGCACCUCUCCACUGUGACCCUCCAGUGAUGCCCCCACCCCAGCACAGAGAUCCCACCUGUCCAUGGCAAGGAAGGCUCCUCCCCUGGAGCCCUCAGAUGUCAUGCGGCUCCACCAACUCCCUGACUUCAGCUCCUGGCCCCCAGCGCGGCGAGAGAACCUCUGUGGUUUUAAUCCCUCCAGUCUGCAGCACUUGGGAGACUGGCCCCAGGACACUCACGCCACCCCAAGGCUCGCAGAUCUGCUGUAACUUCACCACGAUAUCUCAGAAGCAGGUGGCGCGGCUGCCUGGGGGAUUCUGGGACCUCCGCUCCCCACAGUGGGCGCUGCUGAUCCAACAUGCGGACAUACACGCAGCCGGCUCGCUCGGACUGUACCGCCCGGCCCGGGAGAACAUUAGGUUUCCAAUUUCCGAGAGGAGGCAGUCCCACCAGUGUCUGGUGUGGGAGGCAACAGGGGCCGGGCUGCACUUCAUCUCACCCCGCCUUACCCUUCCUUGCUCUUUCCCGGCCCCAGAAUCUAAGGCCAGAGCAGCAGGAAGGCCCAGCCGUGCACAGGGAGGCGCCCCUGAUGCAUCACCGGCCUGUCUGGCCUUGAUUUGGCAGCCCUCUCUCCACGGACAGGGCCACGAAGACCAUACCCUUACUCCCUCCUUGCUCUGCAAACAUGGGGUCAUCCCACCUGAUGUUCUACCUCCUCCGUCACUGGUCACUAGAAUAUACUUUGGACUCGGCCUGAAAACAAAAUUUAAAAACAGGGUCAAGGUUCUGCUCCUCUGUUUCAUCUGACAUUUUUCUCUGCCCAGGGAGGGCGGCUGCUCAUGGGCUACCUGCCUGAGACGGCAAGCGGUGCGUUUUGGGGACCCGGCAAGAAGCAGUUUGGGAACCAGGGUCCUGAAGCCCAGCCUUGCAGGCCUCCAGCCAGCACACGUCUGUACCACACCCACGGUGCAGAGGCGGGAGCACCCCAGGAACGGGCCCCCCACCACCACUGGCAGAGCUCCGUCCGGGCAGUGCCCCGGGAGCAAGGCCCCAGCUGACUGCCAGGAGUACUGUUCUCACUGUGCACACGAGGCUUGGAAAGCCUCAGUCGGCAGUGCCCCGUCCCUGAGCCGGAACUCCAAGACAAAGGGACAGCAAGCCAGUCCCCACAGGGGCUUCUCCGGUCUCUCCGAAUCUGUGGGGCCCAGCCAGGGCCCACCUCCUGCUGCCCUUGCUAAGUUCUCUUCCCACACUCAGCUGCGUGCACAAGCAUGCCUUAGCCUAGCUCCACCGGAUCGACCAAACUGAGAACAUACCCGCCACUGAGCACAACUCUGGGCGUUCCAGGAUGAUUCCCUUCAGGACCCCUGCUGGAACGUGCAAGUGCGGGCCUCCAAGCCUAUUCCAGGCUCCGUCCAACCCAGCCCGUCCUGUGCUAAGGCUGGUCCGAGGUCAUUCGGCAGCCAUCCCCACCCCUCUCACUGCCUGGCUCUGCUCCAGCGGUGCACAGAUGGGGGUGAGGGGGGUGGGGAGCAAAACGUCCGCAUGGGACCCUGUGGAGCACCCUGCAGUACUAACUGUUUGAUCCUCCCAGAGCUAAGCAACCGGGGCCAAAACAAGCAUUUGCAGGCUGGUAAGAAAUCUAGACUCUGCUCAAGGAAGCACUAAGUGUGUCCAGUGAACUAAGAAAUUUCUGGAAAUUGUUCUCAUUGUGGGCUGAAUUGUGUUCCCCAAAUUCCUAUGUUGAAACCCUGGCCCCCAGGACCUCAGAAUGUGACUGUAUUUGAAGACAGAAUCUUUAAAGAGAUAAUUAAGGUAGAAUAAGGUCACCAGGUGCUCUGAUGCAAUCUGACCGGUGUCCCUGAGAUCAGGUCACAGACACGCACAGGGGAACCAAGUGAACACAGCAUCCACACGCCACGCAGACACCGCCGUGCUGACACCUUUAUCUUGGACUCCAGUCUCCAGAACUGAGGGACCGCAAACACCUGCUGUUUGAGCUGCCCAGCCUGCGGUACUUUGGUACAGCCGCCCGAACACACUGACACUGCCCUGUUUGGGGUCCAGCUUGGGGGGCGCAUGUCUGGAGGACCACCACCCCUGGCCUUCUGCCCUCCUCAGCCCUCUCCAUCCCCCGACACUAUAUCUUAUUCCGGUAAUUAGGAGAAAGAGGGGGAAAUUAGGGCAAAAAACACACACAGGUAAGUAACUGAAAACCCAACCCACAUCCCCUCCUGGCAGAGGCCCCAGCCUCCACGAGAUGCCCCAGGCACACUUACGUGCCACCCAGCCCUAUCUUCCUGUCUGGUCCUCCUGCACGGUGGUGGGUGAGCACGGCGCCCGGGGAAUGCCGACCCACCUCAUUCAGUAGCCAGCAACUCCAAGAGAUGUUCACACACCCCAUCUCCCCUGGCCCUAAAACAACUUGGGAGUCGGCGUCAUGCCCAUUCUACAGAUGAAGCCUGGAAGGAACAAGGGUGCAUCCCUGGAGGACCCAGAGCCAACACCUGCAGGGAGGCCUUCUCUGCCCCAUCCGCCUCUUUGGCGACCACCUCCCAGAAGAGUCCUCCGCAAGGUGGGACCCACCCUGGCCCCCGGGAGCCAGAGUCCGCGAGCUUGCUCCUCCCCCUCGCGGCAGGUUCUGUCCAUGGGCUGCACACUCCAGCGACGCGUCUGGACCUGACGGGCUAAUGCAGGACUUACUGACUGCUGAGUCCUAGGCAGAUCCACGGCCUAGAGACUGAGGUUAGGGGGUGAUCUGUAUUUGAGGCAGAACCCGGGAGACAAUGCCUGUUGGGGUUACCCACGGUGCCUGGCGCAGCACCUGCCCGGUGAGAACCAGCACCCCCCUGGGGUGUUUCUCCAGACACAUGGGACGGGCUGCAGAAAACCAGCCACCCUCAGUUCUGAGCUCGCAGACUCAGAGAAAAGCAGGAGCCCUGUGCUCAUGUGGUUUUCCGACUGGAUUCGGUUCAGUUCAGCAGGUAUUUGCUAAGGCCCGCUCUGGGCCAAGGGCCCCUGCUAAAGGCUGCAGGUCUUUGGACCCGCGCUUCUGCCCCCUGCGUGCGUCAAAUCCCCUGGCCCCGGUGAGCCCUCAGGGCUGAUUCGGUGGGUCUGGGUGGGGCCCGAGUUCUGUGUGGUGCCCUGUGUUGUCCGGGGUCCAUGCUGCGAGGGGCAAACCCACAGCCCCGUGGCUCCCUCAUGGCUCCCUGACUUCUGAAGCCUGAUUUCCUUGCCGGGGAACAGGGACUCACAGGAGGAUUUCCCUUCCGGAAGCCGUGAGGACUAGACACAGCGACAGCCCUUUGAUCAAUCUCCAGAGACGCUGAACGGUUGUUGUUGCUGAUUCUGACCAGCGUUAUCAGAGGUCUCUACUGGGGAGCGGGGUCCCUGAGCAAUUCACACUCCCUUUCCAGAAGUCCUGCCUCCUUACUGUUCGUAGAAUUCACUGAACAGGUACCUGCCGCAGGGCCUUUGUAUGGGCUGCCCCUUCUGCAAUUAUCUUCUCCAGACACCCAUAUAGCUUCACUUUUCAAUCUCUUUGGGCCUCUCUUCAAAUGCUACCUUCUUGUAAACAGUCUUUGCCAGAGUCGGGUAAAUGAAGGAAGAAACAUAUACAAAUGAAACCAUGGAUUCCGUUUAAUGUUCUUUCCAACACUUAGUACGAGCAGCACCGCUUCCAGAUUGUACUAAGUUCGGUAGAAACUUAGAAGGAUCACACAGUGUGAAGUCUGGUACCAGAUUGUACAAGAUUGGCCAGACGUAUGGGGGGCAUUAUUCCUCACGAGACAGCACCAGCCCCGGGCUGCUCCCUGCUCUCCUCCCGGGAGCUCUGGCUUCACCUGUCCUCCCCUUCAGUCCGCUCCGGCAGGGCCCGGAUCCGGCGGACUGUCGCCCCUGCAGCACAGAGCACAGAGCAGUGCCUGACACACGGCGGGUGCUCAGCAAGCACGGCUGAUGGAGGGGUGGGUGUGGAAUGGACGGUGUAUCCUGUCAGGAUGUGGAGGGGGACAGCUCCUUUGCAACCUGCCUGCUAAGGAGGGUGGCUCCUGCCACGGCAAGUUUUCUGCUGCACACACGUGAGCUCGAGUGGAAACACGGGGACAGAGCUGAGCCCAUCACGGAGUGUGGAAGAGUGGCUGCCCCCGGGGAGCUCAGAGUCCGGACAUGGAAACGGGGAGAAAGCCUGUGACGGACCACUCUGAAAACUGAUGUGCGCAGGGGCGCCUGGGUGCCUCAGUCAGUUAAACAUCUGCCUUCAGCUCAAG
Molecule: non-coding RNA, 6058 nt
Organism: Callorhinus ursinus (northern fur seal)
Lineage: Eukaryota; Metazoa; Chordata; Mammalia; Carnivora; Otariidae
Source: RefSeq, a predicted model, not a curated record